Molecule: ribosomal RNA, 1259 nt
Filed under: human gut metagenome
Description: bacterial LSU rRNA
Rfam family: Bacterial large subunit ribosomal RNA
Source: RNAcentral
AAGGAGAGUAUCCUAAGGUGAGCGAGAGAACUAUGGUUAAGGAACUCGGCAAAAUGACCCCGUAACUUCGGGAGAAGGGGUGGUCUAGCGAUAGACCCGCAGUGAAUAGGCCCAGGCAACUGUUUACCAAAAACACAGGUCUCUGCUAACACGUAAGUGGAUGUAUAGGGGCUGACGCCUGCCCAGUGCUGGAAGGUUAAAGAGAUUAGUUAGUAUGACGUAAGUCGAUAAUACGAAGCUUUGAACUGAAGCCCCAGUGAACGGCGGCCGUAACUAUAACGGUCCUAAGGUAGCGAAAUUCCUUGUCAGGUAAGUUCUGACCCGCACGAAAGGCGUAAUGAUCUGGGUACUGUCUCAACCAUAGACUCGGUGAAAUCUUAAUACCUGUGAAAAUGCAGGUUACCCGCGACUGGACGGAAAGACCCCGUGGAGCUUUACUGUAGCUUGAUAUUGGAAUUCGGUAAACUAUGUAGAGCAUAGGUGGGAGACUAUGAGAUUAAGGCGCCAGCCUUAAAGGAGUCACCAUUGGAAUACCACCCUUAGUUUAUUGGAUUUCUAACCUAGGACCAUAAUCUGGUUCAGGGACAGUGUCUGGUGGGCAGUUUGACUGGGGCGGUCGCCUCCUAAAGAGUAACGGAGGCGUUCAAAGGUUCCCUCAGAAUGGUUGGAAAUCAUUCAAAGAGCAUAAAGGUAUAAAGGGAGCUUGACUGCAAGACCUACAAGUCAAGCAGGUGCGAAAGCAGGACUUAGUGAUCAGGCGAUUCAGAAUGGAAUGGUCGUCGCUUAACGGAUAAAAGUUACCCCGGGGAUAACAGGCUGAUACCACCCAAUAGUUCACAUAGACGGUGGUGUUUGGCACCUCGAUGUCGGCUCGUCAUAUCCUGGAGGUGGAGUCGCUUCCAAGGGUUGGGCUGUUCGCCCAUUAAAAUGGCACGCGAGCUGGGUUCAGAACGUCGUGAGACAGUUCGGUCCCUAUCCGUCGUGGGCGCAGGAAAAUUGAGGAGAGCUAUCCUUAGUACGAGAGGACCGGGAUGGACCUACCUCUGGUGUAUCUGUUGUCACGCCAGUGGCAGUGCAGAGUAGCUAUGUAGGGAAGGGAUAAACGCUGAAAGCAUCUAAGCGUGAAGCCCUCUCCAAGAUGAGUUUUCCCAUUGUUUAACAAGUAAAAUCCCAGAAAGACUAACUGGUAGAUAGGCUAGAAGUGGAAGUGUAGUGAUACAUUGAGCGGACUAGUACUAAUAGAUUGAGGAUUUAAUCCC